This 597-nucleotide ribosomal RNA is filed under the name uncultured bacterium. RNAcentral describes it as "bacterial SSU rRNA". It matches the Rfam family "Bacterial small subunit ribosomal RNA", at positions 258 to 866 of the family's 1533-position model. The record is from RNAcentral.
UGAUGGCCUACCAAGGCGACGACGGGUAGCCGGCCUGAGAGGGCGACCGGCCACACUGGGACUGAGACACGGCCCAGACUCCUACGGGAGGCAGCAGUGGGGAAUAUUGCACAAUGGGCGAAAGCCUGAUGCAGCGGCGCCGCGUGAGGGAUGACGGCCUUCGGGUUGUAAACCUCUUUCGACAGGGACGAAGCGCAAGUGACGGUACCUGUAGAAGAAGCACCGGCUAACUACGUGCCAGCAGCCGCGGUAAUACGUAGGGUGCGAGCGUUGUCCGGAAUUAUUGGGCGUAAAGAGCUCGUAGGCGGUUUGUCGCGUCGACUGUGAAAACUGGGGGCUUAACUCUCAGCUUGCAGUCGAUACGGGCAGACUUGAGUUCGGUAGGGGAGACUGGAAUUCCUGGUGUAGCGGUGAAAUGCGCAGAUAUCAGGAGGAACACCGGUGGCGAAGGCGGGUCUCUGGGCCGAUACUGACGCUGAGGAGCGAAAGCGUGGGGAGCGAACAGGAUUAGAUACCCUGGUAGUCCACGCUGUAAACGUUGGGCGCUAGGUGUGGGGAGCAUUCACGCUUUCCGUGCCGUAGCUAACGCAUUAAGCG